Molecule: transfer RNA, 76 nt
Filed under: subsurface metagenome
Description: tRNA-Met
Rfam family: tRNA
About the family: Transfer RNA (tRNA) molecules are approximately 80 nucleotides in length. Their secondary structure includes four short double-helical elements and three loops (D, anti-codon, and T loops). Further hydrogen bonds mediate the characteristic L-shaped molecular structure. tRNAs have two regions of fundamental functional importance: the anti-codon, which is responsible for specific mRNA codon recognition, and the 3' end, to which the tRNAs corresponding amino acid is attached (by aminoacyl-tRNA synthetases). tRNAs cope with the degeneracy of the genetic code in two manners: having more than one tRNA (with a specific anti-codon) for a particular amino acid; and 'wobble' base-pairing, i.e. permitting non-standard base-pairing at the 3rd anti-codon position.
Source: RNAcentral
CGCGGGGUAGGGCAGAGGUCAGCCCGCCGGUGUCAUAAGCCGGAGAUCGGUGGUUCGAAUCCAUCCCCCGCUACCA